GGCUGAUCUGAAGGUAGUGAGUUAUCUCACUUGAUUGUUCACAGUUACAGAUUGAACUCCUUGUUCUACUACUUUACCCCCUUCUCACUACUUGACUAGUCUUAA
This 105-nucleotide Y RNA is filed under the name Microcebus murinus (gray mouse lemur). RNAcentral describes it as "Y RNA (ENSMICG00000022297.3)". It matches the Rfam family "Y RNA". Rfam says of the family: Y RNAs are components of the Ro ribonucleoprotein particle (Ro RNP), in association with Ro60 and La proteins. The Y RNAs and Ro60 and La proteins are well conserved, but the function of the Ro RNP is not known. Lineage: Eukaryota; Metazoa; Chordata; Mammalia; Primates; Cheirogaleidae. The record is from Rfam by way of RNAcentral.